RNAcentral lists this ribosomal RNA (744 nucleotides) under uncultured fungus. Its description in RNAcentral is "eukaryotic LSU rRNA". The stretch from base 217 to 371 matches the Rfam family "5.8S ribosomal RNA". Lineage: Eukaryota; Fungi. The record is from RNAcentral.
GGAAGGAUCAUUACUGAAUUGUCAACAAGAGUUGUUGCUGGCCCCUGUACGGGGGCAUGUGCACGCUCUGUUUACACAUCCACUCACACCUGUGCACCCUCUGUAGUUCUAUGGCCUGGGGGGGCUCUGUCCUCCUGUGCUGUGGUUCUACGUCUUUACACACACACUGUAAUAAAGUCUUAUGGAAUGUACGUCGCGUUUAACGCAAUGAAAUACAACUUUCAGCAACGGAUCUCUUGGCUCUCGCAUCGAUGAAGAACGCAGCGAAAUGCGAUAAGUAAUGUGAAUUGCAGAAUUCAGUGAAUCAUCGAAUCUUUGAACGCACCUUGCGCCCUUUGGCUAUUCCGAAGGGCAUGCCUGUUUGAGUAUCAUGAACACCUCAACUCUCAUGGCUUGCCUGUGAUGAGCUUGGACUUUGGGGGUCUUGCUGGCCUGUGGUCGGCUCCUCUCGAAUAAAUUAGCUUGCCGGUGUUUGGUGGGGUCACAGGUGUGAUAACUAUCUACGCUUGCGGUUUUCCACCAGGUAACCUUCAGCAAUGGAGGUUCACCGGAGCUUACAAAUGUCUCUCCUCAGUGAAGACAGAUUUUGACCAUUUGAUCUCAAAUCAGGUAGGACUACCCGCUGAACUUAAGCAUAUCAAUAAGCGGAGGAAAAGAAACUAACAAGGAUUCCCCUAGUAACUGCGAGUGAAGCGGGAAGAGCUCAAAUUUAAAAUCUGGCGUGCCUCUGGUCGUCCGAGUUGU